Molecule: ribosomal RNA, 658 nt
Filed under: uncultured bacterium
Lineage: Bacteria
Description: bacterial SSU rRNA
Rfam family: Bacterial small subunit ribosomal RNA
Source: RNAcentral
AACGCUUGCGGCUAUGCCUCGAAACAUGCAUUUCGAACGCGAAAAUAGGUUCGCCUACUAUUUUCGGUGGCGCACGGGGUGCGUAACACGUAACUAACGUACCCUCUCGCUGGGGAUAACUUCUGGAAACCGAAGCUAAUACCGAAUAAUCUGUUGUGGUCUGCGGACUACACCGGUAAAGCCUUCGGGCGCGAGAGGAUCGGGUUGCGUCCCAUUAGCUAGUUGGCGGGGUAAUGGCCCACCAAGGCUACGAUGGGUAGCUGGUCUGAGAGGAUGAUCAGCCACACUGGAACUGAAACACGGUCCAGACUCCCACGGGAGGCAGCAGUUGGGAAUAUUGGACAAUGGGCGAAAGCCUGAUCCAGCGACGCCGCGUGGGUGAUGAAGGCCUUCGGGUCGUAAAGCCCUGUCUGGGGGGACGAAUCUCCCGCUGGCGAGCAACCAGCGGGAAUGACGGUACCCCCGAAGGAAGCACCGGCUAACUCUGUGCCAGCAGCCGCGGUAAAACAGAAGGUGCGAGCGUUGUUCGGAAUUACUGGGGCGUAAAGGCGCGUAAGCGGCCUGCUAAAUUCGGUGUGAAGACCCUCGGCUCACCCGAGGAAAUGCCCCCGAUACUGGCAAGCUGGAAUACCGAAAAGAAGGUGGAAUUUCUGGUGUA